RNAcentral lists this ribosomal RNA (386 nucleotides) under uncultured bacterium. RNAcentral's name for it is "bacterial SSU rRNA". It matches the Rfam family "Bacterial small subunit ribosomal RNA", at positions 985 to 1393 of the family's 1533-position model. The record is from RNAcentral.
GGUUCUUUACCCGGAGUGGAGAAUUUUCCUUCAGUUCGGCUGGUUGAGUGACAGGUGCUGCAUGGCUGUCGUCAGCUCGUGUCGUGAGAUGUUGGGUUAAGUCCCGCAACGAGCGCAACCCUCGCCGUUAGUUGCCAUCAUUUAGUUGGGCACUCUAGCGGAACCGCCGGUGAUAAGCCGGAGGAAGGUGGGGAUGACGUCAAGUCUUCAUGGCCCUUACGGGAUGGGCUACACACGUGCUACAAUGGUGGUGACAAUGGGAUAAUCCCUAAAAGCCAUCUCAGUUCGGAUUGGGGUCUGCAACUCGACCCCAUGAAGUUGGAAUCGCUAGUAAUCGCGUAACAGCAUGACGCGGUGAAUACGUUCCCGGGUCUUGUACACACCGA